RNAcentral lists this unclassified non-coding RNA (211 nucleotides) under Hevea brasiliensis (rubber tree). Lineage: Eukaryota; Viridiplantae; Streptophyta; Magnoliopsida; Malpighiales; Euphorbiaceae. The record is from RNAcentral.
AAAAAAAAAAUUAUGACAAUAAUUACAAUUUAAUCAAUUCUAGGAAACUAAAGGUUGUAGUUAUAAAUUGAACUAUAGAAUAAAUUUAUAAAAUCAUGUACUUAAAUCCUUCUAAUAAAAAAAAAUUAUGAUAAUAGGUACAAUUUAAUUAAUAUCAAGAAAACUAAAAGUCAUAAUUAUAAACUACAUAAACUAAUAUCAAAUAUCAAAA